AUGGCCGACGACGCGGCAUCGGCCCCGCCGACGGCGCAGCUGGCCGCCGCCUCCAUCUCCUCCCCGCCCUCCUCGGACCUCGAGCCGCCGACCUCCCGCACCCGCAUCCGCGCCAUCCUGGACGCCGGCGACGCCAUGGCCGGGGAGCGCGUGGUCGUCGGAGGCUGGGUCAAGACCGGCCGCCAGCAGGGCAAGGGCGAGUUCGCCUUCCUCGAGGUCAACGAUGGGUCCUGCCAGGGGAACCUCCAGGUCAUGGUCGAAAAGGACGUGCACCCGCUCGCGCAGCUCACCCACACGGGCACCUCCGUGCUCGUCGAGGGCGUGCUCAAGAAGCCCCCCGCGGAAGCCAAGCAGCGCAUCGAGUUGAAGGUGGAGCGGGUCAUCGAGCUCGGGGAGGUGGACGCCGCCGCCUACCCGCUGCCCAAGACCAAGAUCACGCUCGAGACGCUCAGGGACUUCGUCCACCUGCGUGCACGCACCAACACGAUAGGCGCAGUUGCUCGGAUAAGGCACCAGCUUGCCUAUGCGACACACAGUUUUUUCGAUGAAAAUGGAUUUUUGUAUAUUCACACCCCCAUAAUAACCACCAGCGACUGUGAGGGUGCAGGUGAGAUGUUCCAAGUCACUGCCUUAUUCAGCCAGGCUGAAAAGGUGGAGAAGGAGCUUAAGGAGAACCCUGCACCAUCAGAAGCUGACGUUGAGGCUGCUAAGCUUGUUGUUAAAGAGAAAGGAGAUGCAGUUGCACAACUGAAAGCAGCAAAAGCUAGCAAGCAAGAGAUAACUGCUGCUGUUUCCGUGCUUACAAAAGCUAAAGAGAAUGUGUUAAGGGUGGAAGAGCGGUCUAAGUUGAAACCUGGACUUCCACUCAAGGAUGAUGGGAAAAUUGCAUUUGAGAAUGACUUCUUCAAGCGUCAAGCUUUUCUGACUGUUUCAGGCCAACUUCAGGUUGAAACUUAUGCUUGUGCUCUCAGUAAUGUGUAUACCUUUGGACCGACAUUCCGGGCAGAGAACUCACAUACAUCAAGACAUUUGGCAGAGUUUUGGAUGGUUGAACCAGAAAUUGCAUUUGCAAACUUGCAGGAUGAUAUGAACUGUGCUGAAAGGUAUGUACAGUACCUGUGCAAAUGGUUACUCAAGCAUUGCCGAGAAGACAUGGAAUUCAUGGUUAAACAUGUGGACAAGACUGCAAUUGAGCGUCUGGAGCUUGUUUCCUCUACUCCGUUUGAACACAUUUCAUAUACAAAGGCUGUGGAGAUCUUAGAAGGUGUAGAUAAGAAGUUUGAGAACAAGGUUGAAUGGGGAAUUGAUUUAGCGUCUGAGCAUGAGAGGUAUUUGACUGAGGUGAUAUUUAAGAAGCCAGUUAUUGUGUAUAACUACCCAAAAGGAAUAAAGGCAUUUUACAUGAGGCUCAAUGAUGACCAGAAGACAGUAGCUGCAAUGGAUGUUCUUGUUCCCAAGGUUGGUGAAUUAAUCGGUGGAAGCCAAAGGGAGGAGCGUCUUGAUAUUCUUAAGCAAAGGAUACUGGACGCCGAUCUUCCUCUGGAGCCGUACGAGUGGUACCUGGACCUCCGACGCUUUGGCUCAGUGAAGCACAGCGGGUUCGGCCUGGGGUUCGAGCGGAUGAUCCUUUUCGCCACGGGCCUGGAGAACAUCAGAGAUGUCAUUCCAUUCCCAAGAUACCCUGGGAGGGCCGAUCUUUGA
RNAcentral lists this ribosomal RNA (1701 nucleotides) under Triticum aestivum (bread wheat). RNAcentral's name for it is "partial small subunit ribosomal RNA". Lineage: Eukaryota; Viridiplantae; Streptophyta; Magnoliopsida; Poales; Poaceae. The record is from RNAcentral.